This is a long non-coding RNA of Macrobrachium nipponense, 119 nucleotides long. RefSeq lists it as uncharacterized. The record is from RefSeq and is a predicted model, not a curated record. The transcript has 2 exons. NCBI's taxonomy places the organism in Eukaryota, Metazoa, Arthropoda, Malacostraca, Decapoda, Palaemonidae.
GAGAGAAGCCAGAAGAUUAAGAUGAAUCAUCACGCAUGAUCACUACAUCCGUUAUUUACAAUUAUCCAUUGACAUCUCAGCUGAUCAUGUUCCUGAAUCUUUAAUAAAAAUGAUUUAGG